CUUGCUCCUUGGGUGACGAGUGGCGGACGGGUGAGUAAUGUCUGGGAAACUGCCCGAUGGAGGGGGAUAACUACUGGAAACGGUAGCUAAUACCGCAUAACGUCGCAAGACCAAAGAGGGGGACCUUCGGGCCUCUUGCCAUCGGAUGUGCCCAGAUGGGAUUAGCUAGUAGGUGGGGUAACGGCUCACCUAGGCGACGAUCCCUAGCUGGUCUGAGAGGAUGACCAGCCACACUGGAACUGAGACACGGUCCAGACUCCUACGGGAGGCAGCAGUGGGGAAUAUUGCACAAUGGGCGCAAGCCUGAUGCAGCCAUGCCGCGUGUAUGAAGAAGGCCUUCGGGUUGUAAAGUACUUUCAGCGAGGAGGAAGGUGUUGAGGUUAAUAACCGCAGCAAUUGACGUUACUCGCAGAAGAAGCACCGGCUAACUCCGUGCCAGCAGCCGCGGUAAUACGGAGGGUGCAAGCGUUAAUCGGAAUUACUGGGCGUAAAGCGCACGCAGGCGGUCUGUCAAGUCGGAUGUGAAAUCCCCGGGCUCAACCUGGGAACUGCAUCCGAAACUGGCAGGCUAGAGUCUUGUAGAGGGGGGUAGAAUUCCAGGUGUAGCGGUGAAAUGCGUAGAGAUCUGGAGGAAUACCGGUGGCGAAGGCGGCCCCCUGGACAAAGACUGACGCUC
Molecule: ribosomal RNA, 676 nt
Filed under: Citrobacter sp.
Lineage: Bacteria; Pseudomonadati; Pseudomonadota; Gammaproteobacteria; Enterobacterales; Enterobacteriaceae
Description: bacterial SSU rRNA
Rfam family: Bacterial small subunit ribosomal RNA
Source: RNAcentral